Molecule: ribosomal RNA, 303 nt
Filed under: Triticum aestivum (bread wheat)
Lineage: Eukaryota; Viridiplantae; Streptophyta; Magnoliopsida; Poales; Poaceae
Description: partial small subunit ribosomal RNA
Source: RNAcentral
AUGGUCUACUUGAUGGCUUCACAUGCCACAACCUUGGAGUUGCAUGCGCCAUUACCCGAGCUCGAAUUCCUGAGAGGUUUGCGGACAUGCCCGAUGUUGAGCAACCUCAUGAGUCUGGUACUGGGCGACUGGUGCACGGCUGCUGACUUCUACCCGCUGCUUCACAUUCUCCAGCGCUCGCCCAAGCUGAAGGAGCUAACUUUAAAGCUCGAAAUGGAGGAAUGUAGAAGAUGCAAGGGUUCGGAAUCCGCUUUGCCAGCAUCAAGAGCAGCGUCAGGCUCAGGCAGAUAUCCUUGCAUUUGA